UGGGAUUGGUGUGCUGUCCUUCACUAGC
This 28-nucleotide non-coding RNA is filed under the name Mus musculus (house mouse). The record is from RNAcentral. Lineage: Eukaryota; Metazoa; Chordata; Mammalia; Rodentia; Muridae.